CACGUGAUAGAAAGAAUCCGCAUAUUUGCACGUGCUUUUUUUCCGGAUUCCGGAACGCCGUCAAAUAAAAGUCUCCAUUUACACAUUAUUGUCUAUGCUACAAGAUGGCCGACGAAGCGAUCGAGAAAUUUCCUCGACUUAAAGGACAAAGUUACCAUACGUAUUAAAUCUUUACGGUUCUCGAAAUUGAAGCAUCUUCAUGAGAAUCAAAAUAUAAGUGAGACUGAAGCCGACCGUGAACAUAAUUUUGGUGAAACUACUCCUUGUCCAGUGUCCACUGCAGCACCACGUGGGUACACCGGUAUCUGAUGUUGUUUUCAGUAUAGACAUUAAAGACCAUGACCCUACAGAUGUUAAUUGGUAUGACGGAAGAAGCAAAAUUUUUGCAAAACAUAUUUUUUGUAUGCUGUGUCCGUGUCAGAUACAUAAGGUGAAUAUUUACGACUUAGUAUACAGGUAUAUCGAUCAUGACUAUGGUGCUUGUUUGUUUACGCACAGGUCUGAUACCAGUAUAUUUAGCUUCAAUUACCAAUAACCUUCAUAUAAUUUUUUUUCCUUCCUAAAGUAGUUUUAUUUAGCUAAAAAUUAAAACGUAUUUAAUGACCAGACUGUAACUUCUAGGAUAGAAGAAUAAAACCAGACAUUUCUGGUGUCAGAAAAUGAUAAAAGGCCGGAUUGGUGAAAAAUUAAAAGUAAUCAUACUUAUCCGUGCCUAACACACGAGGUGGUGUUUAGUUACUCAGAUCAAAAAAUGGAGAAACAUAUUUCGCUUAAAUUGUUCAAAUGCAGAAAUGUAUAAACUUUCUCUGCUUUGGAUGGCAGAUGCUUUUUAAUUAUUAUAACCUCUUUUAUAAAUGAUAGUGGACAUUUACUUGCAAAUCUUUUGUCUUUUUGAAAUAAAAAGCAAAUUGUAAAAAGUUGCAUUAAAAAAAAAGAAACAACUUUAGGAUCAAGUGACAAAAAAAAUAGGGUCAGUCGGGUAGCAGGAAACAAGACUAUUUUUUUUUUAGCCUUAUGUAAUAUUUAUGUACCUGUAAUAAAUUUAUGUAUGGAACAGUAUUUGUUUUAUGCUCAAAAGGGCCCUGAAUAUAAACAAAUAUCAUAUUUAUAGAUUAUAAAAGAAAUAUUUAAUACUACAGUUGAAGCAAGCUAUGAAUUAGACAGUGUAUUCAGCUUUCCCUGCUGAAAUAAUGUGACCAAAUCAAGUGUCACCUGGAAAGAGGAAUUAAUUCAAGGGUGCUUUUUACAUUAACUCCAAAAUAGCCAUUGGUUUGUAUUUUUUUUUUCAAUUUACACUUGCACAUGUAUCAGGGAAAAUCCAGAAAUUUUUUUCAAGGGGGUGGUAAAAAGGAGGUGUUUUAUAAUACAUGUAUUAAAAAUUAAAUUUAUGAUUUUUAGUACUUGUAUUUUUUAUUUAAACACCAUAAUGUACAUACAGUAUUAUUGUAUACAUAUAGAAGCAUUUUCUUAAGUCAAUAAUUUCUCAAAGAUCAUAUUAAUAUUUCAGGAAAGUUCAAGCCAGAUCUGCUGCUACAGCAAACUGAACAUAAAGUGGCAUACUUGUGUGUUAGGAAACGAGGAACAUGUAUGGCUGGACUGAGAAUCUAACUUGGGAUCCCUGCAUCACUACUUACAUGUAGAUCCAUGGAAAUAUAGGAUCCUUGGCUAAUCAAGUGUCAUCUGCAGUGUUACAAAAGAAUAUUGGAUUUAUAUCAAUAAGAAAAAGAACUACCAGAAGGAGAUGGUAAAGAGGAACGGACAUAUCACACCAUAAGACGUGCUUCAAAAUCUGAAUAUACAGAGUGAAUUUUGUUUACUGCAGAUCCUUGUGAAAGAACACCUUUGUUGUAUUGACAUAAAAACAACAGAAUUGUCAGGAUCCUUGAACAUGACGCAACUGGCUGCAUACGGUGGCAAUUAAAAAUGCAUACAUGUUUACAUUGAUCUUUGUUAGCCAAUAAGACAAAAAGAAAAAUAGCAAGUUUAAUAUCCUAUUACCGUACAUGUACUGAAUGUAUUCACUUUAUUUUGUUCAACUACAUCAUGAGUUUAAAAAUUGUACAGUAUCACAUACAGUCUAAGGUGGGAUUCCUCUAACUUUUAUGAAUCUGUUUGCAAAAUCUAUACUUUAAAGUUACAAAUUAUUACCUAGUAUACAUUGUAUGUAUUUUUGUAAAUUAUUGCACUGUUUUUGUAUGUAUGUAAUGAUAAGCAAAUCACCCAAUUUUCCCGCACUUUUUACCAUGUAUUUAGCAUUUUUUUUACCAUGCUUUAGUGUAAUAAUAUCUGACAACUGAUGACCAGGCAGUCUUCAUUUAACAGUGUAAUACAUAACACAUUUUUAUCUGAAUAUUUUCAAAACUUCAUAAUCACUGGGUUUCCUUAUUUAUGUUGUACAUGUAUUUGGAAUAAAAAAGGAAUUGUUUAAUAAAAGAAAAGUGAAAUUAAUCAUUCUAUUGUUGUCAAAGGAAGAAAAUAAAAACCAGUUUACUUAUGCACA
This is a long non-coding RNA of Saccostrea cuccullata (small rock oyster), 2500 nucleotides long. RefSeq lists it as uncharacterized. The record is from RefSeq and is a predicted model, not a curated record. NCBI's taxonomy places the organism in Eukaryota, Metazoa, Mollusca, Bivalvia, Ostreida, Ostreidae. The transcript is spliced from 3 exons.